GCAAUGUUGCUUAUUGGAGUCACCUCACGCGUCUGUCCAGUUUCCCAUGCCCCUUGAGGGCCGACGUGCAAAGAACACAGGUGGGCAGGCUCGCACGCAACCGUGCGCACCCGCGCAGACGGCGACGUGGAAGCAGGGAAGUGGACCAGGGGUUAGGGGACGCACCUGCUAGAUGGGGUGUCGUGUUGCGCGCUGAGCGUCCCGCCAGCCCGCGAGGCGGUGACCCAGAGGUGGGAAGAGAGUGUGUGGUAACAUGAGUACCGACCCAGACGGCCUCUGGGCAGGCUCAGGCCCACGUGUCUCGACGUCGGUCUCCGGGCCUGUGGGGCAGGCCGCACACAGAGAACACAUGUUUUUCUUUCAUCAUCAAAGGAGGAAGCAACCUAGUUCCCCUCAAAUUCUACAAAGUGUUUCACACGAGACUGUAAGGGGCCUUGAGCAGAGGGGCCCAGGGCCCCAGGUCGCAGAGCGAACCAGGCAAGGGCUGGCAUCUCUGGGGGCAUCCCCGGGAGCCUAGGCAGCGCGUAAUCCACAUCCCCGGAACCGCCAAGGAGAAGCUGCGCAGAGGCCACUUAGCGGCAUCGUGCCUGGUGGCCGCAGAUCCCGAUGCGCAGUUUUCUGCAAAGGGACCAACCUUGGGGAAGCAAGGCUCCGAGGCGGCGGGCAAGCACACGGCGGCUGUCGGGACCGACGGGCUCUCCUGCCGUGGUUGAGGAAGCAGGCGUGAGACCGCUGUCCUGCCUGCCGGCACGCACGGCCCUGGCCUUUUUUCCAAAAGCAGGGAAGCAGGAUCGCAGGUCCUGCCCUGCAAACUGAAAGGUUGUCGGUUCGAUGCCCCAUAAAGGCACACGCUCGGGGGGCGGAUUUGGUCCCCAGUCGGGGCAGAUGAAAAAAGUCCUCCGAGGGAAACGUUUUGCCUGUGGAAGAGGGGAAACAAGAAACGGCAGAAGCACUCAAAGGCACCAAAAUCCAUGAGUUCAAAACCUGUUUUGAGCAGUGGGAAAAAACAUCUCGAUGGGUGUAUGCCCUCAAAUGCUGAACUCUUGUUAUGAAACACCUGCUCUGACUGGGGCGGCCCAGUGGGGUGGGCAUUGUCCUGCAAACCGAAAGCUCACCAGUUGGAUGCCUGAUUCCCGGGCAGGACACAGGCCUGGGUCGGGGCCCAGGGCCCCGGCUGGAGGCGUGUGAGAGGCAACCGAUCAAUGUUUUUCUCCCUUUCUUUCUCCCCCCACCAUCC
This is a long non-coding RNA of Pteronotus mesoamericanus, 1237 nucleotides long. RefSeq lists it as uncharacterized. The transcript is spliced from 3 exons. Lineage: Eukaryota; Metazoa; Chordata; Mammalia; Chiroptera; Mormoopidae. The record is from RefSeq and is a predicted model, not a curated record.